This 2793-nucleotide long non-coding RNA is filed under the name Nicotiana benthamiana. RNAcentral's name for it is "long non-coding RNA (NBEN_LNC005380)". Lineage: Eukaryota; Viridiplantae; Streptophyta; Magnoliopsida; Solanales; Solanaceae. The record is from RNAcentral.
AUUAAAGAUUGUUCAUUAUAUUAUUGUUUGCAAUCAUAAGCUAUUCACGGCGAGACUCAAAAUGUAUAACUACUUAUUCAUGAGAACAUACAAUAAUAAACUGAAAGACAUGGCUUACUAAAAUCAAAUCCAGCCCAACCUAAAUAAAGAAACAUUCAUUAAGCUUACGGAAAUAAUACAUGAGCUCACAAAACCAUUUGGGCUUGAAAUUGGGCCCUAAAGGCAAAGACUGAACUUCACACAAAGGGCAGCCCCAAAUAUGAAUUUCAGCAGGCUGCUUCGGUUUGAACUUAACCAAGGCCAAAUCAAACAUUUGAAUCCCCAAAAUUAAAACAGGAAAUAAAAUAAUUUCAAGAACAACUAUUCUCAGAGUUGUACAUUAAACUUACUAAGGACACACACUUAGGCGCAUUAAUUACAUCCCAUCCUGUGAAACGUAAGUUCAUAUACAAAUAUUUAUACAGUCCUAUUAUUACACAACUCUUAGUAUCGGGUAACAAACUUUACAUCAGUAACGAGCUCUUCUUGGCUGUUAAAACUCAUGCCAUUGUUUUUUUGAAACUAGUAUGUAAAAUGAUAAACUAAUCUAAUAUAAAGCUAUUAUAGAUUUGUAUACUAACAGAAGACCCUUGCUUCUUUUGAACAUGACUUGUCCAUAGCAGCCUCAUCUUAUUCCUUAACAUGUAGAUCAUACCAUAAAGCUUCCAAAGCCAAUUUAUCCAACCAACUAGUGGUUGAACCAACAGACUACAGCUCAAGACCAAACAGACAAAGGAAAAGAAAAAGAAAAAUGAAAACAGUAUGUUGAGUAGAGGGAAUCAGAUGAAGGGGAGAAGGAAAGCAUCACAAACGAUACCGACUAAAUGAUAUUAUAUGGCAAAGGCUAUUUGUGAUGUUUCUUUUAAAGAAUUUUCCUACAUAUUGAAAUGCAUAUAAAGACACAUGAAAGGCUGAUGCAGAACAAUGAACAACACAUUAAUUUCUACUAUUGAAUUAUACAAUCAUACACACAUAGUCAUGAAUAACUUCAGAUUGCACAAACUAGUUCAUUCUCAUAGCUAGAGUGUAGUUACAUACCUAUAGAUAAUUCAAGAAAGACCAAAUAAAUGUCACUAAAACAAUUGAGCUUUCCAAAAUAUAAUAAAAAGCAGCAAGCAGCAAAUGAAAACCAAAUCACAACCAUGUCUAGCCUCAAGAACCCAGAUAUUUCAGCCAAGGAAAACCAAGAAAGAACCUUCUACCUCACAUCAUCUUUUUAGAUUUUAAGAGAACCAAGGAGGAAAGUUUUCUAGAUUUGAAACCUAGUCUUUUUAGCAGAGGAAAUUAGGAUUUUGUGGAGUAAAUUAGUGCUGGAAAUCUGUCUGUGAGAGUAAGUGUUGUUCUAUUUUAGAAAGUGUCCAAGGAAUGACAUCAAAAAGGAAUAUUUUGGCCUAAAAUCCUAAUUUUCAUAAUAGUACUACCCUUUUUGACACCUUUUUCUCUUAUCUAAUAUCAGCAUCGGCAAAGGAUAGGGACAACUAUCUUAAGUUCUAGAACAUUCUGAUAUUUUUAAAUGUAAAAGUUCAGUUUUAACUUUUAAAAUCAACUUAUUUCAAUUCUACCAAGACUUUUUUGGUUUAGGUAGGUCCCUAAGGUUCCUAUUUGUUGGCAAAUCAUGGCAAACAAAAACAAACCUAGAGAACAUUAUAAAUUCAAAUAAAAAAAGGCCUAGGAUAAUCAUGAUACUGCCAUCUGGAACUAAAAACUAAAUCAAUCCAAGAGAAGAAAAGUUCACCCAAUUAAACCUAAACUAGACAUAGGAUCAUUAAAACCGUUAUAAUUAAACACAAAUAGACUAAAGACUCUAAACAAAUUUGAACCUAACAUUAAUCUAACUUAACGAGAUUUAGGAUUGCUUCCAUCAACUUACUGGACAAGAACAAAUAAAAAUAGAAUGAAAAAGAAAAAGAGAUAGCAUGCAAUCAAACACAAAAACGAAAAACAAAAAGAGCAAGAAAAAUGAAACAAGUUAAAGAUCCUAAAAAUUCAAUUCAUGUUAAGGAUUAAUUAACCAAAAAAAUAAAAGGGAAAUAGAGAUGUCUGAAUAAAACCUAAUCAACACAUUCAUUUUCUUUUGUUUUCAAAGUUUUCAACCAGUAAACAAAAACAUAAGUAAAAAAUGAAACAGGGCAAAAAAAAUAAGGGGAAAGCAAUACCUAAUGAGACUUAAGAGUGAAAGGAAUGACCCCGAACUCGGACAAAGAUGGCCAGGCUUCGAUUGCUUUGAGUUGGUUCCAAAAUUACUCUAAGCAAUUGUUCUUGCUAGAAACGAUUAUUUAAUGUAAAUUUGGACUCCACUCUUAUCUUGAAACUCGAGGAACCAGAAGAGAAAUUGGCAAAAUGAGUAAGCUAGGUUUCUGUGUUUCCAGAUUUGGAAUCAACGGAAUUGGGUAAGUCUUUUGGGGGAAAGAUUAGUAGAUUAUUGUAAAGGGGCGGUUGGGGAGUGUAUAUGGUGAAUUUGGGGAGGUUUGGGUAGACUAGGGUUUUGGGGCUCCGACUUUUGAUCUAAGAUUCAAAGAAUUUAACAGGGAUUUGGGGAAACUAGUUAAGAGAUUCGUAAAAAGGAGGCAAAGGGGAGUCUGUGGUGUUGAUUUGGGGUGGAUUGGAGCGUUGGAGCCACUGUGAGGCCAUUCCCAGCGGGUGGUUGACGAUGAAGCGACGAUGGAGCUGCUAGGGUUUGGGUCUUUGAGAGGAUGAGAGAUGGAGUGAGAGAGGGGGGGCCUUAUGGGGAUCGGUCCCUUUGGACAGUAAUAU